UGAGAGGGAGAUCCCCCACACUGGUCAUGACACGCGACACAGCAUCCCUCAGGGAGGCGAGCAAGUGAGGAAUAUUGGACAAUGGAGGCAACUCUGAUCCAGCCAUGCCGNGUGCAGGAAGACUGCCCUAUGGGUUGUAAACGUGCUUUUAUACAGGAAGAAUGGUACCUACGUGUAGGUAUUUGACGGUACUGUACG
This 198-nucleotide ribosomal RNA is filed under the name uncultured bacterium. RNAcentral's name for it is "partial 16S ribosomal RNA". It matches the Rfam family "Bacterial small subunit ribosomal RNA", at positions 293 to 484 of the family's 1533-position model. The record is from RNAcentral.